Molecule: ribosomal RNA, 468 nt
Filed under: Triticum aestivum (bread wheat)
Lineage: Eukaryota; Viridiplantae; Streptophyta; Magnoliopsida; Poales; Poaceae
Description: partial small subunit ribosomal RNA
Source: RNAcentral
AUGGAGACGGCGGGCCGAGGACCAGGAGGGUCGCAGUCGACGGGGGCGGAGGCCGGGUGAGCCUGGUCGUGAGCAUGCUGCGCCGUGGCGGCGUGCGUCGCGGCGGUGGGGCUGGCAGGCGCCGGCGUGCUGGUGUGGUGGGCGGUGGCGUUCCACCCGGCGCAGGAGCAGCUCUGGAUGGUGCCCGUCGGGCUCGUCCUCCUCAGCACGCCGCUCGCCGCCUGGCUCUCCCUCUUCGCCUUCGGCGCAUGCCGCCGCCUCGGGACCAGCCUCCUCUGCACGCCGAGCUGCACGGGGAGGAGCUGUGGCCGGAGCUCGCACUCGCCGCACGUGGCUGGGGCGGAGCUCGCCCGCGCCCGCCUGUGCGUGGCCAGGGCGGCCCGCACCCGCACCCGCGCCCGCCUGUGCGUGGCGGAGCUCGGCCGCGCCCGUCCGCCUGGGAGCUGCCCUACUCCGGGUCGCGGAUGA